This 460-nucleotide ribosomal RNA is filed under the name uncultured bacterium. RNAcentral describes it as "partial 16S ribosomal RNA". It matches the Rfam family "Bacterial small subunit ribosomal RNA", at positions 338 to 795 of the family's 1533-position model. The record is from RNAcentral.
CCUACGGGAGGCAGCAGUGAGGAAUAUUUGUCAAUGGACGAGAGUCUGAACCAGCCAAGUAGCGUGAAGGAUGACUGCCCUAUGGGUUGUAAACUUCUUUUAUAUGGGAAUAAAAUGUUCCAAGUGUGGGAUUUUGUAUGUACCAUAUGAAUAAGGAUCGGCUAACUCCGUGCCAGCAGCCGCGGUAAUACGGAGGAUCCGAGCGUUAUCCGGAUUUAUUGGGUUUAAAGGGAGCGUAGGUGGAUUGUUAAGUCAGUUGUGAAAGGUUGCGGCUCAACCGUAAGAUUGCAGUUGAAACUGGCAGUCGUGAGUACAGGAGAGGUGGGCGGAAUUCGUGGUGUAGCGGUGAAAUGCUUAGAUAUCACGAAGAACUCCGAUUGCGAAGGCAGUUCACUGGACUGCAACUGACACUGAGGCUCGAAAGUGUGGGUAUCAAACGGGAUUAGAUACCCUUGUAGUC